Molecule: ribosomal RNA, 679 nt
Filed under: Alpioniscus balthasari
Lineage: Eukaryota; Metazoa; Arthropoda; Malacostraca; Isopoda; Trichoniscidae
Description: partial large subunit ribosomal RNA
Rfam family: Eukaryotic large subunit ribosomal RNA
Source: RNAcentral
AACACGGACCAAGGAGUCUAGAAUAUGCGCGAGUCAAAGGGCUGUCUAAACCCCGAGGCGAAACGAAAGUGAGCGAGAAGGUUGCGGUAAGGGGGCGAUCGGUUGAGGUGGCGUCGUCGUCGUCGUCUUCGUCGUCGUGGCGGCGGCACGUCGCGUCCAGGCUUCGGCUUGGCCGCCGGCGUACGUCGUUUACGUCGGCACCUGGCGGCGGCUGCGGCUUCUCUCUUCCUUCUCUCCCCCUAGGCCUCUUCCUUCUCUUGGACCGAUCCGUUUCGUGGGCCUCAAAACCCACGAUUAACCUCGAAUUAAAAAUCCCAUGGGGACGGCGCAGGUCCGGGGCUCGCUAGCUCCUUCCUCGCCGCUAACGCUCGCGUCGUGCGUUCGGGGCGUUUAGUAGUUCGCUCUUCUUUUUUCCGCCUUCUCGCUCCCUGUUUUCCCGAAGUCUGGGUAACCGUUUCGGCGGGAGUCUGGAUCAGGGAGGCAGCGGAGCGGGUUGGCGGGGGGCGGCUCGCGUCUUCGGGCGUCGCGCGCGCGGGCGGAGAAGGGCUGCGGGUACCUUGAGCGCAUAUCCUAGUACCCGAAAGAUGGUGAUCUAUGCUUGGCCAGGAUGAAGCCAGAGGAAACUCUGGUGGAGGUCCGUAGCGGUUCUGACGUGCAAAUCGAUCGUCGGAGCUGAGCA